GACGAACGCUGGCGGCGCGCUUAACACAUGCAAGUCGAACGGAAAGGCCUGCUUUCUCUUGUGGAUUGCGGGUACUCGAGUGGCGAACGGGUGAGUAACACGUGAGUGAUCUGCCCCCAACUUGGGUAUAAGCCUGGGAAACUGGGUCUAAUUCCCGAUAGGACUGCAGGGUGGUGCCUGUGGUGGAAAACGAUUUUCUAGUGGUUGGGGAUGAGCUCGCGGCCUAUCAGCUUGUUGGUGGGGUAAUGGCCUACCAAGGCGGCGACGGGUAGCCGGCCUGAGAGGGUGGACGGGCACAUUGGGACUGAGAUACGGCCCAGACUCCUACGGGAGGCAGCAGUGGGGAAUAUUGCACAAUGGGCGGAAGCCUGAUGCAGCGACGCCGCGUGGGGGAUGACGGCCUUCGGGUUGUAAACUCCUUUCGACCGCGAGGAAGCCACCUGGUUGGAAGGGUGGUGACGGUAGUGGUAGAAGAAGCACCGGCUAACUACGUG
This 494-nucleotide ribosomal RNA is filed under the name uncultured bacterium. RNAcentral describes it as "partial 16S ribosomal RNA". It matches the Rfam family "Bacterial small subunit ribosomal RNA", at positions 28 to 507 of the family's 1533-position model. The record is from RNAcentral.